This is a non-coding RNA of Caenorhabditis elegans, 582 nucleotides long. The record is from Ensembl. NCBI's taxonomy places the organism in Eukaryota, Metazoa, Nematoda, Chromadorea, Rhabditida, Rhabditidae.
CUUGUUGUUUUGCUGAAAAUUUACUCAAGAAAAUAUGAUGGCAAUAGUAAAACUACCAAAACAAUGGAAGGGUUAAGAUGAGUCAAUAGAAACUCUUUAAUGUCUGUUGGGUCGGCAAGCCAAUCAGAAUCGCCCCAUUACAAAUAAACUGGACGGUUCACCGAAGUGAAAUCAUAUGUUGGAACGUUUGCCUUAAUGUUUCUUGUUUCCCUUCACUCCAUAGUCGAACUUCGGAGCACCUCCAUGCCGAAUCAUUUGAAUCCAGUGCACGAUAUUCUGAUUAGAAGUUCCUGCUUGAGUAUGUGCCACAUAAAUUGGGACACGGGCCUGAAAAUGCUAAUUUAAAGAAGUGAGAAGAAUUAACGUACUGUAUUAAGUUGAUUCGAUUCUGGGCCCGUAAUCAAGAACAUCACAUCAUCACAUACUCCAGCUUCAACCUGGAGACCUGCGCAUACUGAUUGAGAAACAAGCUUCAUAAUCCAAUCCAAUCCAAAAGGAAUUCUCCCGAACCAAAAACAUCGACCCAUCCAUCAAACUCGGGUGAAAAAUAUUCAUCAAGAAAUUUUUUAUUUCAAAGCUCCU